GUACACGCUGUGACUAGCAUAUCAAUAAGCGGAGGAAAAGAAACUAACAAGGAUUCCCCUAGUAACGGCGAGUGAAGCGGGAAGAGCUCAAAUUUGAAAUCUUAAAGGGUUUCCCUUUACGAAUUGUAGUUUAAAGAAGUGUUUUCUGUUGAGGUUUUGGUAAAAGUUCUUUGGAAUAGGACAUCAUAGAGGGUGAGAAUCCCGUAUUUGACCUUUACUUUCAACUUUGUGAUACACUUUCAAAGAGUCGGAUUGUUUGGGAAUGCAGUCCAAAAUGGGUGGUAAAUUUCAUCUAAAGCUAAAUAUUGGCGAGAGACCGAUAGCGAACAAGUACCGUGAGGGAAAGAUGAAAAGAACUUUGAAAAGAGAGUUAAACAGUACGUGAAAUUGUCAAAAGGGAAGCGUUUGACACCAGUGUUGUUUUUCUGAAAAUCAAUUAAAGAACUGUUUAUGCUAAGUUGUUUAGACUUUAUCAGCUAACUGUUUAGUUUUGAGCUUUUCUUUAAUGCACUUUUCAGUUAACAAGUCAACAUCAAUUUCUUUUGCUGUAAAAAAGCUUGAGGAAGGUGGCUUGAGAUUCGUCUUAAGUGUUUAUAGCCUCUUGCCUAUGCAGUCGGAGAGAUUGAGGUCAUGCAGCGUAGAUCCUUCGGGGCUAAAUGCAUUUGUGCUAAGUUAUAGCAUUUAUAGACAAUUUGUUGACUAUGAUUUGUCUUGUAGCUUACUCGCUUAUGUUAUUUUACCUACGCUUAGGAUGUUGACAGCAGUAUAGACUGU
This 774-nucleotide ribosomal RNA is filed under the name uncultured Neocallimastigales. RNAcentral's name for it is "partial large subunit ribosomal RNA". It matches the Rfam family "Eukaryotic large subunit ribosomal RNA", at positions 22 to 637 of the family's 3401-position model. The record is from RNAcentral. Lineage: Eukaryota; Fungi; Neocallimastigomycota; Neocallimastigomycetes; Neocallimastigales.